Limulus polyphemus (Atlantic horseshoe crab) is the source of this 147-nucleotide long non-coding RNA. RefSeq lists it as uncharacterized. The record is from RefSeq and is a predicted model, not a curated record. NCBI's taxonomy places the organism in Eukaryota, Metazoa, Arthropoda, Merostomata, Xiphosura, Limulidae. The transcript has 3 exons.
UCGAGCAUUUACCAGAUAUUCAGUAUUCUUGUGUAUAUAAGACCGGUAAGAAGUGACGGCAACAAUGCAAUGUAAUUGAAUUGCAGACAGAGAUAGAGACUGACAGUUGGGUCGAGCGUGUGUGUCGUUCGUUGUGAAUUAUAGCGU